Cavia porcellus (domestic guinea pig) is the source of this 697-nucleotide long non-coding RNA. RefSeq lists it as uncharacterized. NCBI's taxonomy places the organism in Eukaryota, Metazoa, Chordata, Mammalia, Rodentia, Caviidae. The transcript has 2 exons. The record is from RefSeq and is a predicted model, not a curated record.
GGUGGUGAGGAGACCGGAGGAUGUGACAGUGGGCGCCACUGCUUUUCAGAAAAGGCACCAUCAUUCUCAACCUGAAAGAUCGUUAGCAAUAUAGUGAGGAAGCAAUAUUGUGUAUCAGCAUGGUGAAAAUACAAUCUACGGGUUCAAGACAGAAGAUUCAUUAAGACUUUUUUCCCUUAGAAGGGAACAGAGGGAAUAUACUACAACAGAAGCUUUUGUUACAGAGCAAAAAACCCAAGACAAUCAAAAAGUGCUAGUAUUUAUCUGCUUUGUGCUAGUAUUUAUCUCUUGUAAUCAUUUGCUGUUGGGAGCCGCGGCCGACACCGGUCGCCUUACUUGGCGGACGUAGGGCCUGUGGGUGGGAGCGGAGCCUGAGCUAGAUUGCCCCUCCCAUCGAGUGAGCCAAGUUGGCGCCUGCUUCCUGCCCCCUGAUUGCCCUGGCGACGUAAGCAGCCCGCGCAAUAGAAUAGUCUGCCUAGCAACAACUGAUGUUAGCCAAUCAGCCCGCAUCGCGCGCUUUGAACUGAUUGGCCACUGUUACCCUAUAAAAGUAAAUGCCUCUCCCGCCACGAGGGAGAAGCACAGAGGAAGCACGAGAGAGAUAGAGAAAGUCCACCGGCGAGAAAGGACUGGUGGCAGAGAGGAGGCCUCGCGGGGCCCACGCGGAGACAAAUAAAGGCAAGGUUGCACACCGCCA